CCACACAUUAGCAUCUCCUUAUAUAGAGCUUUAACAAAAAACCCUAAUACAAAUAACCUAAACCAUAACUCGGUUUAUACCCUAAACCAUAACUCGGUUUAAACGGGCUUUACUUGGGCCUCAAGCCUUCUUCUUCAAGCUUACUCCAACAUUCUCCCCCUUAAGCUUGAACUUGUCUUCUCUCACAUCUUGAACUCCAAUAAAUCUUCUCAUUUCAAUAAACUUGAUUCUUC
RNAcentral lists this long non-coding RNA (233 nucleotides) under Capsella rubella. Its description in RNAcentral is "long non-coding RNA (CRUB_LNC002531)". Lineage: Eukaryota; Viridiplantae; Streptophyta; Magnoliopsida; Brassicales; Brassicaceae. The record is from RNAcentral.